This is a non-coding RNA of Macaca mulatta (Rhesus monkey), 2642 nucleotides long. The record is from RefSeq and is a predicted model, not a curated record. NCBI's taxonomy places the organism in Eukaryota, Metazoa, Chordata, Mammalia, Primates, Cercopithecidae.
UACCACAUAGCAGGCACUCAAUACAUAUUUGUUAACUUAAUGCAUAAACUCCCACCACUUACACGUUGGGUACUUUUUUGAAAAACAAACAAACAAACCUACAUAUUAACUUCUGGUUGUGACUACUGUUUAUUUAAUAACUGUUUGGUACCAUAUAAUACUGAGUUUGCACUUCCUAUAUCUUAUUAUUGACUUUCUCCAAGAUUAUUAGAGACAGUGAACUCUGAGCCUAUGACUCAUCUCUUUAUACUCUUCAUGGAAAAAGAAGUUGAAGACAGAAGAUCCAACUCUGCCACCUCUGGGAAUUACAGCACAAUGGGAAGUAUCUGUCCAACCUGACUGCGGACUGAGGCAAAUCUUAAGCAUAACGCCAAGAUAGCGCCUUCUAGAUGGACUACUUCAAGUCAGAGCCUCAAAAGCAGAUUGUAAUUAUUACCUGCUCCAUUUUAUACGUGACAAAAAGUACCCAUAAAGGGAUUAAGGGGUUUUGCUCAAAGCAACAAAUCAAAAGGGCUGCUGCAGUUUGCUGGCGAUCCACUCUACAUCCUAUUUGCCUGGGUCCCUCUUGCACCUGGAAGUAUCACCAGUAGAGGCUGCAGAACAACAAACAUAGCUGUGUGCUCCUUGUUCUGGAAGUUCCAUCCCAGAGGGACACCGACCUGAUGCCUGUUGGAACUCUCCUGCUUGAGGUGUCUGGUUACCCCUGUUGGGGAUCUCACCCAGUCAGGAAGCACGGGAUCAGAGACCUGCUUAACAAAGCACUCUGACUGCCCCUGGGGAUAGUGGGUGCACUGUGCUGGGGGGAAUAUCACUCAUCUAGACUACCCAGCCUCCUCAGAGCCAGCAGGUGGGAAAGAUUAAGUCUGCUGAACCAGAUACCACAGCCACCCCUCCCCCCAGGUACUCCAUCCCAGGGAGAUCAGAAUUCUCUCCAUAAACCCCCGGCUGGAGUUGCUGAAAUUCCCACAGGGAGACCCCACUUGGUGAGAAAGGAUGGAUCCAGGUCCCACCUAAAGAGGUAGUCUGGCCACAAUCUGCCACAGCUGCUGUGUUGCACUUUGGGGAAUUCCUCCCACUAAAAACCGCCCAGCCUUCCUGCACCGGAUCAGAAAAUGACUGACUGGAGUCACAGUGAUGGCAGCCGCCCCUCCCCACUGGUAACUCGGUUGUCUUAGGCUGUCUCCAGUCUACUGUGUCUGGCCACAACGAAAGUGGUCACCAAGAGUCUGCACAGUUCUGUGCUUGGAACCAAAGGCCCUGGUAGCAUGGGCUCAGGAGGGGAUCUCCUGAUCCAAGGGUUUCACAGAUCCAUGAAAAAAGCAUGGUUUCCCUGGCAAGGUAGCACAAUCACUCUCCACCUCCCUUGGCUGGGGGUGGGUGGGAGCUCCCCUUUCCCUGUGAAGCUCCCAGUUGGGCCAUCACUCUACCCUGCUUUCCCUCACUCUGCUUGGGUCACAGCAAAUGCUAGUCAGUCCCAUUGAGAGAACCUGGAUACCUCAGCUGAAGGUGUGGUAUUUACUCGCUGUUUUUGUUCUUCUACGUUAGAGCUGCAGACCAGAGCUGCUACUAAUCAGCCAUACUGGCCCCUCCACACUAAAGCUUUUGAAUGAACCUUCACCCAUGCUUUCAAAAACUUGCCUUGGUCUCUCACUCUGCCUUAUGCUCCUCAGUUGAAUUCUUUCUCCUGAGGAAGCAAGAAUUGAGGUUGCUGCAGACCCAUAUGGAUUCACCACUGGUAACACUUUUGGCCAAAUACAUAAACCAGCAAGCUGAUAAUUAUGCCAGUUUGCCAAUCAUAACUAAAACUGUGUUGUUACAACCCUGCCUUGUGUACAGAGGUUUCAGUGAUUCCCGGAAAAUGGCGAAUGAAAGGUCAAGACAUCAGUAAGAGUUGUUGUUGUUGUUGUUGUUGUUGUUGUUGUUGUUUUGACAUGAAUAUGCAGCUGUUAACGAAGCUGUAUCCCCCAGUUCCUAGGAAAGGUAACAUUUGUAUCAAUUGGGUGAAGGCCUCUUUCAAGAAUAUAUUCAUUUUCAGGUAUCUAUUAUGAGUCUUGGCACUAAUCCAAACAUCAACAGCAGUGUUUCAAUCAUGAUGUGCUGAUACAUACUUCCCAAAAUAGUUAUAAUAAAGAGAAUAAGGCAGAAAAUCGGACAUGAUCUGCUGGUGGGGAAAGCCAAAAUAAAACAAGCUUCCAAGUAAAAUGAAGGCUGCCACGGCUAUGAAGCAACAUAAAUAAAAACCACUGGCUACAGAGUCUUUUUCUGCAGAAGACGGAAAGCAGUCAUAUGGCCAGACAAAUUAAGGCACAAUGGAUCGGCCAAAACAAUCUUUAUUCAGCACUAGAGUGGUUUCUGCCAAACAAAAGGUAUGUGGAACAUGACUCAAUUUGGCUUAUUGCAAGCUUUAGUGAAGAAUUAUAAUUUGUGAUAAAGAAUGCCAAAUGAGCAGUUUUGUGAUGUAAACGAUACAUUAGGGAAAUAAGGAGAACAUGAACAGAUCAUUGAAAUUGUUAGAAUCCAAGCAUUUAAAGGGUGAAUCAAGGCAGUAAUCUUGCGUUAACUUCACACAUUUUGCUUUUCUCCAAGUUGGAGCCACUUAAGAAAUUCCAGUUAGCCAAUGUGAUUAAGAAAUAAAGUGUCAC